CAUACCCAAGGCCCUUCUGCGUGAGGGCCAACACUCUACCCACUGAGCACACCAGGCCAGGGUGGAGUGGAUCAUUUUUAACAUCCUCCUCAACAAAGAUAUUUUCAGUAAUAAUCAUGAAAUACAGCUAGUAAUAGUAAUAGCAGAAAAGAAGCACAGUGAAAAAGGUUUAUUAUUGAGCUUUGUACAUGUAUUCAUGCUAAUAAAAUGUAAUUUUAAAAGCAAGAUGCAAACGAAAAUACCUACUGCAGUAUAAUAAAAGAAAAAAGGCAUCCUGUUCUUGGUGGUCAGGAUCAAGCCAUUCAAACAUGGCCCUUUGGAUUUCUCCUAUCUCGUAAGGAGUUGGUAGCACUACAGAGCUGGGCACACAGAGUGGGCGUGAAUGAUUCCCAACUGUUGAGGACGUCCUGGGAGCAGGCUGUGUGGCUGAGUCUGCGUACUGUGUGACUGAGCAAGCGGGAGCUCUGCAAUUAGCUUUCAUGUAGAAUGCGAGCUCUAACGGUAAGUAAUAAAAAUGUGCUAAUUGGAAGCUAGGUACAUAUGAUUAAAACACAGCAGCAGUGUGGCAGUUGUUUAGAACUUAGGCCAACAAAGGAUUUUUUCAGGAAGGGGCUCUUUAUC
Long non-coding RNA from Myotis lucifugus (little brown bat), 621 nucleotides. RefSeq lists it as uncharacterized. The transcript has 3 exons. The record is from RefSeq and is a predicted model, not a curated record. NCBI's taxonomy places the organism in Eukaryota, Metazoa, Chordata, Mammalia, Chiroptera, Vespertilionidae.